Trematomus bernacchii (emerald rockcod) is the source of this 2156-nucleotide RNA transcript. It is a transcript of the gene named nucleolar protein 56-like, with no coding region annotated. The transcript is spliced from 13 exons. The record is from RefSeq and is a predicted model, not a curated record. NCBI's taxonomy places the organism in Eukaryota, Metazoa, Chordata, Actinopteri, Perciformes, Nototheniidae.
ACUUCCACUCGCUGGUGAAGGGUCUCACCGGCCUGGCUGCCUCCAAGGCACAGCUGGAUACCACUUCCCAGAGCUGGUCAGAAUCGUCCGCAGAGCAUGGAGGCCGUGGUGAUGGACGGCACCAAGGCUCAGGCCAUCCUGGAAGCAUCCUGUUCCUCCAUGGGUGCACUUUUGGAAACUGCGCCAUGAUGCCGACCGAAGUGGAACACGUCUGUUGCAAAGAAAUAAGAAAAGGUAUGGACAUCUCACCCAUUGAGAGAUUCUCCACUCGCGUGGUGGCUCUGGCUGAAUAUCCACUCGGGCUGCAGGAGUACCUGCGCUGCAAGAUGGCCCAAGUGGCCCCAGCUUUAAUCUGAGAAGUGGUUGGAGCUCGCUUUUUCCACUAGGCCGGGCCGGAACUAGGCCUAGUGGAAGCGCAACCAAAAACGGGCACGACACGGCACGCUUAAAGCGAGCUCCGCGCUGUAGUGGAACUGCGCCAUAACAAGGCCCUGUUCAGGUACUGGGGCACCCCCCCCCUCCCUGCUGGGGAAUAAAGUGGCUACAGUGAUGGCAGGGCGGGGCAGGAACCGAGCAGGGUGACUGGAGAGGGCUAAGGUCUCCUCCAGAGUGAUCCCUCUCCCCCAAUGCACCCCCACAGUCUGAGAAUGUCUCUGUCCAAAACCUUUAGAACGGCCACUAAGCCUUAUGAAAGGCUCCCACAAAUUAAGGUGAAGGUUCUGGCGGUGAAAGACACCACAAAAGUACAAAGGUGUGAGUUCGAUGGAGAGGGUGCCAAGGCCACACAGGUUUAUCGAAACCGAACAGCUGCGGUCACAGACGGGCAGACUGUACAGAAAUGUGUUUUAUUUGAAGAUUUGCUCCAGCAAAUAAACGAGGGCCAAACUUACAUUGUAAGGAAUUAUGGCAUGAGCAAAUUUGGUCAUACCAAAUCCAUGCUCAGCAGAAAAAACACAGCCAUAUACAUGUGUGCCCCGCUCCAGGCCAUUUGGAGGAGGAAGGCAAGGCCCUCCUGACACCUCCCUCCACCCUGGUGCCAAUUCUGGAUCUGACCACAGGGAUUGAGCAAUUGGUGACAGUUCAAGGGUUCAUCAACGAGAUUGAGCCAAUUAUAAAACAUCAGAUGGGCUCAGAACUACCAGUCCCACUCAGGAAUGUGACACUAAAAGAGGAUGAGGGGGAGAUCCAGGUUUGCCUCUGGAGGGAGUCCAAUCUGGUUCCCAUAACAGAUGGCAUGUUGAUCCAGGUGAGCCAUCUGCGUGGCAAAAAUGCCCCGAACCACGGUUUCUCCUUCCACUCCACAGCCUUCACGGAGGUAGAGCUUCUUUCCAUGACAAAAAAAAUCAAGGUGGAGGGACUCCGUGUUUUAGAAUGUGGAGACGCGGAGCUGCUACAGGAGAACGGGACCAGGAUCGUAGUAGAUCGAGCCAUUUGGUUGAAGUAUGGACAUCUCACCCAUUGAUCUGAUCAACAUUGAGAGAUUCUCCACUCGCGUGGUGGCUCUGGCUGAAUAUCCACUCGGGCUGCAGGAGUACCUGCGCUGCAAGAUGGCCCAAGUGGCCCCAGCUUUAAUCUGAGAAGUGGUUGGAGCUCGUCUGAUCUCCCAUGCUGGCAAGUAUAUUUCAAAGUCGGGCCGGGCAGUCACGACAUCAGAGUUCUUCCUGAAGAAUGUGAACCCAUUUCAUGAGGUCCCCCCCCCCCCUCCCUGCUGGGGAAUAAAGUGGCUACAGUAAUGGCAGGGCGGGUCAGGAACCGAGCAGGGUGACUGGAGAGGGCUAAGGUCUCCUCCAGAGUGAUCCCUCUCCCCCAAUGCACCCCCACAGUCUGAGGUGACCAUGAUGGCUGAGCACUAGGCACUGAUCCUGAUGCUGCCGUGACUUCAUGAGGAUGUCUCACUUCAAGGCAUCAAUCUGCCCAUGAGAUCUAAUCCGAUGUCCUUGGGAUGCAGAGGCUCCAUGUAACAUGAGGUGCAGUGCGUUGAAGGCAGCAGCAAGAUGGUGAAGGAGGACAGGAGGAUGUAAAGCUCUGAGAGUCGUAGCGACUGGACAAAGUGCUAUACGAGUACCGUCCGAGUUCUCUGUAAAGGAUUUCUUACAAACUGUGCAGCUGAACGGUUUCUCUCCGAAACAAUUGUUGAAAUAAACAUCUUACACAGA